UGUGACCUCAAAUCAGGUAGGACUACCCGCU
RNAcentral lists this ribosomal RNA (31 nucleotides) under Phlegmacium argutum. RNAcentral describes it as "Cortinarius argutus partial 28S ribosomal RNA". The record is from RNAcentral. Lineage: Eukaryota; Fungi; Basidiomycota; Agaricomycetes; Agaricales; Cortinariaceae.